UCAGUAAAAUAUUGAGUUGAAUCCAUUUUAUGGAUAAAUUGGUAUAUUGAGAUCUGAUAUUUUAAGAUUGAUAUCCUUUUGAUCUCGUAUAAUGAUGCCACAUAUCUCGAGGUUGGUUUAAUGCACCAACAGAAUUGAAUAUUUGGAUAUGAAUUGGAUAGUUGUCUAUCGAUAUCUAUAUUCAUUUUUCUUUAGCAGAUAUGGAUA
This 207-nucleotide long non-coding RNA is filed under the name Elaeis guineensis (African oil palm). RNAcentral describes it as "long non-coding RNA (EGUI_LNC071116)". Lineage: Eukaryota; Viridiplantae; Streptophyta; Magnoliopsida; Arecales; Arecaceae. The record is from RNAcentral.